This 163-nucleotide ribosomal RNA is filed under the name uncultured bacterium. RNAcentral's name for it is "partial 16S rRNA". It matches the Rfam family "Bacterial small subunit ribosomal RNA", at positions 355 to 511 of the family's 1533-position model. The record is from RNAcentral.
UGGGGAAUAUUGGACAAUGGGGGAAACCCUGAUCCAGCCAUGCCGCGUGUGUGAAGAAGGUCUUCGGAUUGUAAAGCACUUUAAGUUGGGAGGAAGGGCUUACGGUUAAUACCCGUGAGUUUGACGUUACCGACAGAAUAAGCACCGGCUAACUUCGUGCCAG